Molecule: transfer RNA, 69 nt
Filed under: Aplastodiscus sp. 1 MLL-2016
Lineage: Eukaryota; Metazoa; Chordata; Amphibia; Anura; Hylidae
Description: tRNA-Val
Rfam family: tRNA
About the family: Transfer RNA (tRNA) molecules are approximately 80 nucleotides in length. Their secondary structure includes four short double-helical elements and three loops (D, anti-codon, and T loops).
Source: RNAcentral
CAAAAUAUAGCCCAACUAAAGCACCUCGCUUACACCGAGAUGAUACCUGAUAAACCCAGGUUAUUUUGA